RNAcentral lists this ribosomal RNA (680 nucleotides) under Francolinus pondicerianus (gray francolin). RNAcentral's name for it is "partial 12S ribosomal RNA". It matches the Rfam family "Bacterial small subunit ribosomal RNA", at positions 521 to 1494 of the family's 1533-position model. Lineage: Eukaryota; Metazoa; Chordata; Aves; Galliformes; Phasianidae. The record is from RNAcentral.
UCAUACAAGAAACCCAAAUCAAUAGCCAUCCGGCGUAAAGAGUGGCCCCAUGCUAUCUACACCAGCUAAGAUCAAAAUGUAACUGAGCUGUCAUAAGCCCAAGAUCCACCUAAACCCAACCUCAAGUCAUCUUAGCCCCAUGAUUGAUUUUAAUCCACGAAAGCUAGGACCCAAACUGGGAUUAGAUACCCCAUUAUGCCUAGCCCUAAAUCUAGAUACCCCUCCCACCUAUGUAUCCGCCCGAGAACUACGAGCACAAACGCUUAAAACUCUAAGGACUUGGCGGUGCCCCAAACCCACCUAGAGGAGCCUGUUCUAUAAUCGAUAAUCCACGAUCCACCCAACCACCCCUUGCCAGUACAGCCUACAUACCGCCGUCGUCAGCCCACCUCUAAUGAAAGAACAAUAGUGAGCUCAAUAGCCCCGCCCGCUAAUAAGACAGGUCAAGGUAUAGCCCAUGGGGUGGAAGAAAUGGGCUACAUUUUCUAACCUAGAAUAAGCGAAAAAGGAUGUGAAACCCCUCCUUGGAAGAAGGAUUUAGUAGUAAAGUAAGACCAUGCCCCUUUAAGCUUACUUUAAAACGGCCCUGAGGCACGUACAUACCGCCCGUCACCCUCUUCACAAGCCGCCCGUACUCAUAGAUAAUACCUAUCAGCCAAAGAUGAGGUAAGUCGUAACAA